RNAcentral lists this ribosomal RNA (710 nucleotides) under Bacillus velezensis. RNAcentral describes it as "bacterial SSU rRNA". It matches the Rfam family "Bacterial small subunit ribosomal RNA", at positions 50 to 741 of the family's 1533-position model. The record is from RNAcentral. Lineage: Bacteria; Bacillati; Bacillota; Bacilli; Caryophanales; Bacillaceae.
UAUACAUGCAAGUCGAGCGGACAGAUGGGAGCUUGCUCCCUGAUGUUAGCGGCGCGACGGGUGAGUAACACGUGGGUAACCUGCCUGUAAGACUGGGAUAACUCCGGGAAACCGGGGCUAAUACCGGAUGGUUGUUUGAACCGCAUGGUUCAGACAUAAAAGGUGGCUUCGGCUACCACUUACAGAUGGACCCGCGGCGCAUUAGCUAGUUGGUGAGGUAACGGCUCACCAAGGCGACGAUGCGUAGCCGACCUGAGAGGGUGAUCGGCCACACUGGGACUGAAACACGGCCCAGACUCCUACGGGAGGCAGCAGUAGGGAAUCUUCCGCAAUGGACGAAAGUCUGACGGAGCAACGCCGCGUGAGUGAUGAAGGUUUUCGGAUCGUAAAGCUCUGUUGUUAGGGAAGAACAAGUGCCGUUCAAAUAGGGCGGCACCUUGACGGUACCUAACCAGAAAGCCACGGUUAACUACGUGCCAGCAGCCGCGGUAAUACGUAGGUGGCAAGCGUUGUCCGGAAUUAUUGGGCGUAAAGGGCUCGCAGGCGGUUUCUUAAGUCUGAUGUGAAAGCCCCCGGCUCAACCGGGGAGGGUCAUUGGAAACUGGGGAACUUGAGUGCAGAAGAGGAGAGUGGAAUUCCACGUGUAGCGGUGAAAUGCGUAGAGAUGUGGAGGAACACCAGUGGCGAAGGCGACUCUCUGGUCUGUAACU